GGAUUAAAUAUUAAAAAUAAUUUUUUAAAAAAUUGAAUAAAAUUAAU
Molecule: ribosomal RNA, 47 nt
Filed under: Satchelliella mutua
Lineage: Eukaryota; Metazoa; Arthropoda; Insecta; Diptera; Psychodidae
Description: partial 16S ribosomal RNA
Source: RNAcentral